RNAcentral lists this ribosomal RNA (230 nucleotides) under uncultured bacterium. RNAcentral's name for it is "partial 16S ribosomal RNA". It matches the Rfam family "Bacterial small subunit ribosomal RNA", at positions 334 to 578 of the family's 1533-position model. The record is from RNAcentral.
UAUACCUACGGGACGCAGCAGUGGGGACUAUUGGGCAAUGGGCGCAAGCCUGACCCAGCAACGCCGCGUGAAGGAAGAAGGCUUUCGUGUUGUAAACUUCUUUUAUCAGGGACGAAGCAAGUGACGGUACCUGAUGAAUAAGCCACGGCUAACUACAUGCCAGCAGCCGCGGUCAUACGUAGGUGGCAAGCGUUAUCCGGAUUUACUGGGUGUAAAGCGCGUGUAGGCGG